AUUGAACGCUGGCGGCAGGCCUAACACAUGCAAGUCGAACGAGUGGCGGACGGGUGAGUAAUGUCUGGGAAACUGCCUGAUGGAGGGGGAUAACUACUGGAAACGGUAGCUAAUACCGCAUACCAUCAGAUGUGCCCAGAUGGGAUUAGCUUGUUGGUGGGGUAACGGCUCACCAAGGCGACGAUCCCUAGCUGGUCUGAGAAGAUGACCCGCCACACGUGAACUGAGAAAGGGUCCAGACUCCUACGGGGGGCAUGAGGGGGGAAUAUUGCACAAUGGGAGCAAGCCUGAUGAGGCCAUGCGGCGUGUAUGAAGAAGGCCUGCGGGUUGUAAAGUACUUUCAGCGGGGAGGCGUUACCAGAAGAAGAAGCACCGGCUAACUCCGUGCCAGCAGCCGCGGUAAUAA
This 406-nucleotide ribosomal RNA is filed under the name uncultured bacterium. RNAcentral describes it as "partial 16S ribosomal RNA". It matches the Rfam family "Bacterial small subunit ribosomal RNA", at positions 30 to 526 of the family's 1533-position model. The record is from RNAcentral.